GAGUUUGAUCUUGGCUCAGAUUGAACGCUGGCGGCAUGCCUUACACAUGCAAGUCGAACGGCAGCACGGGAGCUUGCUCCUGGUGGCGAGUGGCGAACGGGUGAGUAAUGCAUCGGAACGUAUCCUGGAGUGGGGGAUAACGUAGCGAAAGUUACGCUAAUACCGCAUAUUCUGUGAGCAGGAAAGCGGGGGACCUUCGGGCCUCGCGCUCUUGGAGCGGCCGAUGUCGGAUUAGCUAGUUGGUGAGGUAAAGGCUCACCGAGGCGACGAUCCGUAGCAGGUCUGAGAGGAUGAUCUGCCACACUGGAACUGAGACACGGUCCAGACUCCUACGGGAGGCAGCAGUGGGGAAUUUUGGACAAUGGGGGCAACCCUGAUCCAGCCAUGCCGCGUGAGUG
Molecule: ribosomal RNA, 398 nt
Filed under: bacterium enrichment culture clone ALO1_GLFRUDD03GL1TM
Lineage: Bacteria
Description: bacterial SSU rRNA
Rfam family: Bacterial small subunit ribosomal RNA
Source: RNAcentral